This is a long non-coding RNA of Oncorhynchus keta (chum salmon), 1821 nucleotides long. RefSeq lists it as uncharacterized. Lineage: Eukaryota; Metazoa; Chordata; Actinopteri; Salmoniformes; Salmonidae. The transcript has 5 exons. The record is from RefSeq and is a predicted model, not a curated record.
AACAUCAGUAGGUGGCAAUGGCCUGAGGCUUAGCCAGUGGCACAGCCAAGCUAUCUAACCAAUGCAAUGAGUAAUUUAAACAACCUCCUGGGGAAUAUCCACUCACUGUUUCCUGCUCCCAGGGGAGAUAUGCAUGACGCUAACAUAAUAAAGAUUCAUCCUUGAGACCAUGACUUUCUGUAGAUAAACGAGUUACUGAGUUGAAAUGGUAGAAACUCACCUUGCCUAUCGUUUACACCCAUUCAAUGCCUUCUGAUAUCUGUGCCAUCUCCAUGGUCUAAACAUGUAGGUAGCUACUGGUUACAGGUUAAUGUGUGCCAUCUCCAUGGUCUAAACAUGUAGGUAGCUACUGGUUACAGGUUAAUGUGUGCCAUCUCCAUGGUCUAAACAUGUAGGUAGCUACUGGUUACAGGUUAAUGUGUGCCAUCUCCAUGGUCUAAACAUGUAGGUAGCUACUGGUUACAGGUUAAUGUGUUCCAUCUCCAUGGUCUAAACAUGUAGGUAGCUACUGGUUACAGGUUAAUGUGUGCCAUCUCCAUGGUCUAAACAUGUAGGUAGCUACUGGUUACAGGUUAAUGUGUUCCAUCUCCAUGGUCUAAACAUGUAGGUAGCUACUGGUUACAGGAUACAGGUUAAUGUGUUCCAUCUCCAUGGUCUAAACAUGUAGGUAGCUACUGGUUACAGGUUAAUGUGUUCCAUCUCCAUGGUCUAAACAUGUAGGUAGCUACUGGUUACAGGUUAAUGUGUUCCAUCUCCAUGGUCUAAACAUGUAGGUAGCUACUGGUUACAGGUUAAUGUGUGCCAUCUCCAUGGUCUAAACAUGUAGGUAGCUACUGGUUACAGGUUAAUGUGUGCCAUCUCCAUGGUCUAAACAUGUAGGUAGCUACUGGUUACAGGUUAAUGUGUUCCAUCUCCAUGGUCUAAACAUGUAGGUAGCUACUGGUUACAGGUUAAUGUGUGCCAUCUCCAUGGUCUAAACAUGUAGGUAGCUACUGGUUACAGGUUAAUGUGUUCCAUCUCCAUGGUCUAAACAUGUAGGUAGCUACUGGUUACAGGAUACAGGUUAAUGUGUUCCAUCUCCAUGGUCUAAACAUGUAGGUAGCUACUGGUUACAGGUUAAUGUGUUCCAUCUCCAUGGUCUAAACAUGUAGGUAGCUACUGGUUACAGGUUAAUGUGUUCCAUCUCCAUGGUCUAAACAUGUAGGUAGCUACUGGUUACAGGUUAAUGUGUUCCAUCUCCAUGGUCUAAACAUGUAGGUAGCUACUGGUUGUAGGUAGCUACUGGUUACAGGUUAAUGUGUGCCAUCUCCAUGGUCUAAACAUGUAGGUAGCUACUGGUUACAGGUUAAUGUGUGCCAUCUCCAUGGUCUAAACAUGUAGGUAGCUACUGGUUACAGGUUAAUGUGUGCCAUCUCCAUGGUCUAAACAUGUAGGUAGCUACUGGUUACAGGUUAAUGUGUGCCAUCUCCAUGGUCUAAACAUGUAGGUAGCUACUGGUUACAGGUUAAUGUGUGCCAUCUCCAUGGUCUAAACAUGUAGGUAGCUACUGGUUACAGGUUAAUGUGUUCCAUCUCCAUGGUCUAAACAUGUAGGUAGCUACUGGUUACAGGAUACAGGUUAAUGUGUUCCAUCUCCAUGGUCUAAACAUGUAGGUAGCUACUGGUUACAGGUUAAUGUGUUCCAUCUCCAUGGUCUAAACAUGUAGGUAGCUACUGGUUACAGGUUAAUGUGUUCCAUCUCCAUGGUCUAGACAUGUAGAUAGCUACUAGUUACAACCUACAGGUUAAUGUGGAAUGUGUGGUACAACAGCAGCAGCAGUGU